RNAcentral lists this ribosomal RNA (492 nucleotides) under uncultured bacterium. Its description in RNAcentral is "partial 16S ribosomal RNA". It matches the Rfam family "Bacterial small subunit ribosomal RNA", at positions 29 to 507 of the family's 1533-position model. The record is from RNAcentral.
AGUGAACGCUGGCGGUAGGCCUAACACAUGCAAGUCGAACGGCAGCACAGUAAGAGCUUGCUCUUACGGGUGGCGAGUGGCGGACGGGUGAGGAAUACAUCGGAAUCUACUUUUUCGUGGGGGAUAACGUAGGGAAACUUACGCUAAUACCGCAUACGACCUACGGGUGAAAGCAGGGGAUCUUCGGACCUUGCGCGAUUGAAUGAGCCGAUGUCGGAUUAGCUAGUUGGCGGGGUAAAGGCCCACCAAGGCCACGAUCCGUAGCUGGUCUGAGAGGAUGAUCAGCCACACUGGAACUGAGACACGGUCCAGACUCCUACGGGAGGCAGCAGUGGGGAAUAUUGGACAAUGGGCGCAAGCCUGAUCCAGCCAUACCGCGUGGGUGAAGAAGGCCUUCGGGUUGUAAAGCCCUUUUGUUGGGAAAGAAAAGCAGCAGGUUAAUACCCCGCUGUUCUGGCGGCACCCAAAGAAUAAGCACCGGCUAACUUCGUG